GGGGUUGUAGCUCAGUGAUAGAGCGCUUGCCUAGCAUGUAUGAGGCACUGGGUUCAAUUCUCAGCAUCACAU
This 72-nucleotide transfer RNA is filed under the name Ictidomys tridecemlineatus (thirteen-lined ground squirrel). RNAcentral describes it as "Spermophilus tridecemlineatus (thirteen-lined ground squirrel) tRNA". It matches the Rfam family "tRNA". From Rfam's summary of the family: Transfer RNA (tRNA) molecules are approximately 80 nucleotides in length. The record is from Rfam by way of RNAcentral. Lineage: Eukaryota; Metazoa; Chordata; Mammalia; Rodentia; Sciuridae.